RNAcentral lists this transfer RNA (84 nucleotides) under Pseudomonadota bacterium. RNAcentral describes it as "Proteobacteria bacterium tRNA-Leu". It matches the Rfam family "tRNA". From Rfam's summary of the family: Transfer RNA (tRNA) molecules are approximately 80 nucleotides in length. The record is from RNAcentral. Lineage: Bacteria; Pseudomonadati; Pseudomonadota.
GCCGGAGUGGCGAAAUUGGUAUACGCGCGGGAUUCAAAAUCCCGUUGGCUUUGGUCAGUAAGGGUUCGAGUCCCUUCUCCGGCA